Molecule: long non-coding RNA, 1652 nt
Organism: Anarrhichthys ocellatus (wolf-eel)
Lineage: Eukaryota; Metazoa; Chordata; Actinopteri; Perciformes; Anarhichadidae
Exons: 4
Source: RefSeq, a predicted model, not a curated record
UGAGUAAAAACAUAACCCAUGCCAGCAAAAACAUAUCUAUCAGUGUUCUCCACUGGCCAUUGGAGACAGACUUUUUUUUUUCUCCCUCAGAGGCCAACAUCGACUCUGUCUUUAACCGCUGGGUGUUUGAGAUUGGCCCCCUCAACCCCUCUAUCUUCUCAACCCCGAAGUAUUUUAGCAUCUUUUCUCUGAGCCUAGAUUCAUUUGUUUUUUUUAAACAUCCUUUUUGUGAAUUCAAAUGAGUUUCUUUUUUCUUUUUUUUUGAUAAAGACUCCGCUUUCUCUUUGUGCAGUUAAAAUUGCUUUUUUUUGUGCACCUGCAAUCACCGCCCUUGUGGAUGACCCCAGGUGCCUAAUUCAGAAAUGCGUGCAGGGUUGUCACCGGCUGCACCGAGCCUUGGAUCACAUCGAUUGUCCUGGCGGAUGACCCUGACUCCAGCUUCAAGCCUCUCCAUCCCUCUGCCUCGUCCUUCCUCCAGAACACACUGAACCCUCCACAGGGUUCGUGAGUCUUUUUCUGUCCCCUCUGUGCGGAUGAGAUGGCAGCAGACGGAAACACACGGGAUUUGACAACUGGACUCCAACGUAUUUGACAGCCUACUUCAGAAUAUUGAACCAUGAAUGAUGGAAAACACCAUUGACCCAAAGGUCAGAGGUAAUGUUGAUAUCGACUUCCACUUCAAUGAGUAACUCUCAUCAGAUUCUGCUACAGUAUAUUUCAUUUCAACUUGAGUACUUGCCAUUUGGCUUUUCAUCAAUGAAUCUCUGUACUCGGAAUGCAAAUCAAGCAUUUGCUCAUAUAAGUCCGAAUAAAGAAUACGUCAGCUCAAAAAUGAUGACUUUUGAACCCCUUUAAUGACGACAUACAAGCAUCACAUGUCAGAUGGCUCAAAGACCGAGAGGAGUACGACAGAUAAACACCAGGGAAGUGUUUUGGGCAGAACCAGCAAUACGCUUUACUGGGGGGCCGGCAGGGUCUUGGUGCUGUCCAUCACCUGCUGGAAGAACUUCUCCAUAAUGUCGGUCAGAGGCUUGACCUGGCCGUAGAAGUUGUCGGUCAGAGGCUUGACCUGAGUGUUGAAGUUUUCCAUUAUGGGCCUGAUCUGCUCCUCAAUGUUGCUGACUAAGGGCUUGACCUGAUCCUGCAGCUUGGUGGCCUCGGCCAUUACCUUGUCAACCAGAGGCUGGAUCUGGGACCUGCCGUUCUCUGCGUAAGUUCUGUGGGAGGAAGAGGAAGCAAUAUUUUUUCCAUCAAUCACUGCUGCUGACUCUGCUUUGUAUUUAUUUGUUGUUUAUUUGAAUCUGAGUAAAGAAAAAUGAACUGAAACUGCCUGAAAAUGUGUUGGUGUGACUCUUCAGGAAAAUCUUUUGAGAAUCAUGAUGUGUAACUGUUCUGGUUUUAGGUCACGAUAAUGUGAGUUAAUCUAAAUAAACAAGCCAUUUACUAUCCAAAGAGGUAAUGAGCCUUUAGCCUUUUACAUGUAUCAUGAAUAUAACUUUUUCAUUUUGGAAAUUGACAGAAAAGUGACAUAUUUGUUGUUUUCAGAGCCAGUUUUUCUCAGGUGUUGAAUUUCUCCAUUACAUGAGAUUUUCUACAUGUUAAAAUUAAAAGAAAUAAACUUCGACAGUCAGUAUUGGUGUGUACAUUAAAUU